Molecule: ribosomal RNA, 439 nt
Filed under: uncultured bacterium
Lineage: Bacteria
Description: partial 16S ribosomal RNA
Rfam family: Bacterial small subunit ribosomal RNA
Source: RNAcentral
CCUACGGGAGGCAGCAGUGGGGGAUAUUGCACAAUGGAGGAAACUCUGAUGCAGCGACGCCGCGUGAGGGAAGACGGUCUUCGGAUUGUAAACCCCUUUUUUUGGGGAAGAAAAUGACGGUACCCAAAGAGUAAGCCCCGGCUAACUCCGUGCCAGCCGCCGCGGUAAUACGUAGGGAGCGAGCGUUGUCCGGAAUUACUGGGUGUAAGGGGAGCGUAGGCGGGCGAGAAAGUUGAAUGUUAAAUCUACCGGCUUAACCGGUAGCUGCGUUCAAAACUUCUUGUCUUGAGUUAAGUAGAGGCAGGCGGAAUUCCUAGUGUAGCGGUGAAAUGCGUAGAUAUUAGGAGGAACACUAGUGGCGAAGGCGGCCUGCUGGGCUUUAACUGACGCUGAGGCUCGAAAGCGUGGGGAGCAAACAGGAUUAGAUACCCUGGUAGUC